Hydra vulgaris (swiftwater hydra) is the source of this 268-nucleotide non-coding RNA. The record is from RefSeq and is a predicted model, not a curated record. NCBI's taxonomy places the organism in Eukaryota, Metazoa, Cnidaria, Hydrozoa, Anthoathecata, Hydridae.
CUGAUUUUUUAGAAUGUUGGAUUGUUUUCUCAUGAGAAAUUUCAACAUGGAUGGGCAGAGAGGCGGAAAGAGAAGUUUUAAAGAAACCAAUCUUUAUAAAUGUGUGAUUAGGUCUGUCCUAGAAAGAUAUCCAAAGGAAUCAGAGAAGACAGUCCAUCAGUUUAUUCAGGGCGUGUUGAAAAACGCACCAGCAUCACGAAAAUCUGAUUGAACAUAUUAUAAUUUAGUUUUUGUUGUUGAUGGCGUGAAAUAUAUUUUUGGUAGUAAA